Molecule: ribosomal RNA, 247 nt
Filed under: Sarcinomyces sp. SL10226
Lineage: Eukaryota; Fungi; Ascomycota; Eurotiomycetes; Chaetothyriales
Description: partial 18S ribosomal RNA
Rfam family: 5.8S ribosomal RNA (bases 171-247)
Source: RNAcentral
UUUGUCUAAAUUACCUUUGUUGCUUCGGCGGACCGGUUGAUGACCAACUGGUCCCGACCGCCGGGGGGGCUUCACCCCCUGGAGAGCGUCCGCCGACGGCCCAACCACAAAACUCUUGUACCAAACCAUGUCGUCUGAAUGUACUUGAUUAAGAAUCAAAACAAAACUAAAACUUUCAACAACGGAUCUCUUGGUUCUGGCAUCGAUGAAGAACGCAGCGAAAUGCGAUAAGUAAUGCGAAUUGCAG